Molecule: ribosomal RNA, 433 nt
Filed under: uncultured bacterium
Lineage: Bacteria
Description: partial 16S ribosomal RNA
Rfam family: Bacterial small subunit ribosomal RNA
Source: RNAcentral
AACGAACGCUGGCGGCAUGCCUAACACAUGCAAGUCGAACGAGAACUUCGGGUCUUGUGUCGCAUGGGUGCGUAAGGCGUGGGAACCUGACCUUAGGUUCGGACUAACUAUACGACAGGGAUGCUAAUACCGGAUAAUGUCUUAGGACCAAAGAUUUAUCGACUCUGGUUGUGCGCUCGUUGGAUUAGCUAGUUGGUAGGGUAAAAGCCUACUAAGGCGACAAUCCAUAGCUGGUUUGAGAGGCUGAUCAGCCACACUUGGACUGAGACGCGGCCGAGACUCCUACGCGAGGCGGCAGUGGCGAAUGUUGGACAAUGGGCGAAGGCCUGAACCAGCUAUGCCGGUAAAGCGAUGAAAGCCGUAGGGAAGUAAAGCUCUUUUACCCGUGAUGAUAAUGACGGUACCGAGUGAAUAAGCUCCGGCUAACUCCGUG